UACGAAGGGUGCUAGCGUUGUUCGGAAUUACUGGGCGUAAAGCGCGCGUAGGCUGCCAUUCAAGUCAGGGGUGAAAUCCUUGGGCUCAACCCAAGAAUUGCCUUUGAAACUGUAUGGCUAGAGUGUCGGAGGGGAUAGCGGAAUUCCUAAUGUAGAGGUGAAAUUCGUAGAUAUUAGGAGGAACACCGGUGGCGAAGGCGGCUAUCUGGACGACAACUGACGCUGAGGCGCGAAAGCACGGGGAUCAAACAGG
Molecule: ribosomal RNA, 253 nt
Filed under: uncultured bacterium
Lineage: Bacteria
Description: partial 16S ribosomal RNA
Rfam family: Bacterial small subunit ribosomal RNA
Source: RNAcentral